UAAAUCUGUUGAUUUGGCUGAACUCUAUUCAUUCAGUGUUAAACAUUUUUUUUUGUCUGUAUGAUGCACAUGAUGAUUAAACUCUUAACAUGCGCACCAGGUUUUUGUCCACAGAGACUAAAUUGACAUCUUAUAGGUGACAUUAGUGUUUAUAUUUAUGAAGCUCCUUUCAUCACUAGCUGAUGUCACAUGGCUGCAGUGUCUGUCAUUUUUUUUUUGUUUUCUGAAUGUUGUUGUAGAGGAGAGCCAUUCAUCAGAGCUCAGAGCUGGAUAUGUUCUAGUUGUGCAGUCCUACCUGAUUAUCCUUUUGUUUUUGUUCCCUUAUUUUUUUUUGCCGCGGUAACAGUUAUCUUUAGUUCUUUACCAUGGAAUGAACAAUUAAACUGACUUACUUAUGUGUUUUAUUUGUAGAGCAAACCCUGUGCAGGCAGGAUCUCAGGCUGAAUUCUCCCAGUGGUUAUGUUAUGUACACAACGUGGUUAAUCGAAGGUAACUCCAUACGGUCAGCUUUGAGCUGUUGCUUGGUAUAGUCUUGAAAAUCAUCUAAGGCACUGUAGUGUCGAAUCUAUUUCUAUAGAAUCAUAGGAAAAAUAAGGUCGAGGGCCAAAAGGAGGAAAACUGAUGCACUGUAGCUAUUUGGCACCCUUUUACUCCUACAAUAAGGGGUAUGUCAGUGUGUGGUUUAAGAGUAGAUCUGUUUCCGUUCUGAUAUCAUCAUGAUUUUGCAGAAUGUUAUGGAGCCUCUACUUUUGAGACUGUUCUUAUGUGUUGCCGAUCUGAGCAUUUUGUGGUUGUUUUUUGCAGCCUUGGGAAACCAAUAUUUCCCUGUCAAAGAGUAACUGCACGAUGGGGUAAACUGGAUUGUCCCGAACGCUCGUGUGAUCUAGAAGGCGCCAACGACAUCAUGCCAAAUCGAUGACGCAAACAAGAAAUUCCUCUGGAAUAUUUACUUCAAUGAGGAUUUUUAAACAAGCUAUUGUAUGAGCCUACUACCAGGGAGAUGAGGAAAGAGAGUUCAGGGCUCCAUACCGAGUUGCUGACAUUGUAGAGCGAAGAGCGUCUACCUGAUUUUCUGUAUCCUUGGGCGCUGGUGGUGUUAGUGGUAGUAGAGUAUGUUGGAUUCGAAUCUGGCGAUGUUUGUACUUUGUACAGUUUUACCAUGGUAACAGUAAUCAAAUUUUGUUUGAGCUACUGAUCUUGUUCCUGCAUUUAUUUUUGGCUAGGUUCUGUGUAUGUUCCCUAGUCUGAAGUCUGCUUCUUCUAUCUAUCAGACCAUACAGUCGUACAGAUUUUUGUGCAGAUGACGGAUAUCUGAACAGUUUUGUAUAAUAUCUCGUGAGUCAGGAGUGCACUUCUAUAGAAAAACCCUGGAAAAUAGGAUGCUGAAAUACUAAAAGAUACCUACCGAUAUUAGAAAGCCUGGACCAGCAACACCUGCAAGCAUGGCCAUCAAUGCGAGAUUGCCGGCUGAAGGAGGAAUGCAUGGCCUUGCCGGCUGAUGGAGGAAUGCAUGGAGGCCACCUUCCUCGCUUUCCCCGGCCAUUUUUCUGCAGCUCAGCUCCUCGUUGUUGACGAUGACAUAAAUUCUGCUGUCUUAUCACAUCAGUUUUUUAAUCCCAUGCUGACAUCUAGCAGCAAUGCGAAUGAAAUUCAGAAAUUGCAUCACGCAUGGACCUCUCGCUAUCUUAAGAAGAGGAGCCGCAGGAAGCCAAAGGAAACGAAGCACAAGCGCAUUUGAAACUCUGAAGGGAUUGGAUUGUGCGUGCGCAGGUGCAGGAGAUGAGGCUUCCCUCAACGCUGGUGUUGCUGAUAUUUGCAUUUGUUGGAGGAAAUCUGCUCAUGGGCAUCUCCUCUAAUGCAAGAAGCGCCAAGAACUCCACAGGUACAUUCAGCAAACCGUCCUAUUCCUGGCUCAGGCAAAUCUUCCCGUGUUUUUCUCCUGCCACUUUGUUCAUACGGCUUCUGUUCUUUUCCAUCUUUCUCGUCGGUUUUGGAGUAAUGAGUGAUAGUUACAGGCUUGGGGCUUGAGAAAUUAUCUCACCGCCUUGGGUUCACGGUACAGUGAUGGAUAUUUGAAAAGAUUGUUGAUGGGUUCUGAUGCUAUUUUCUCAAAAUUCAAAAGAAAAGAGAAUAAGAAGAUCUGAAUCACCUGACGAUAUUGAUAGCUCAACAUAACAAUGCCAUUGGAUCUUCUCACCAAGCAAGAAUGCCAUUGGAAGCAUAUGCCAUUGGAGUUCACUUUAACAAUUACUACUGACUAAACUAUAUAUCUAAUCAUGCAUGUAUAUCUUAUCCAUGAAAGACAAUUGUUACUCCCCUCUUUUCAGAAUGCAAGGCAGGGUUUGGCCUGCUCUCUCUCUCCAAAAUUCAUUUUGAUCGCUAAUCUCAUAUAUUAUACUGUUCGAGACCAUGAAAUCGACAUCUUAUGAAAGUGCAUUUAAAUGGAAUUCAUGUUAAUAACUGCUUAUUGUAUAAUCUACAACCUAGGCUAAUUCUUGGUUAGAGAUUGAGUCUUGGAAUGCAUGUGUGUCUUAAAAAGGAAAAGGAGGGAACAGUUGGUACGAACUAAUUUUCGCCGGCCACUAAAUGUAUGGACUUCCGACAGUUGUGGGUGCAAUGAUGGUUAUUUAAUCUGUAGAUGCUGUUUUGACUGGUUGGUGCUGUUUUUUUUUCUCUCAGCAUCUUUUUAUUCUGAAAUAUUGAGAUUGUAUAUGGGGAAUAUGUGGCCUAUGGUUUACAUUUAGUUGCAUUCCUUGCAGAUCCAGGGCAUGGAAACAUUGAGUUAAACGGCAGGAAACUAAAGGUGUGAGCUCAAACAUAGAUGGAAAAUGUCCUGCAUUCCCUAGACCAAUAAAACUUGUGUUUCUUGAUAUAUCCUUCUUGAGGCAGUUGUUUUCCAUUACUAAUCAUAGUGGGGGAACAAUUGCAAGUUCUUACAAAUGAUUCUUCAUGUAUCAUUUUCAGGAACGAUACACUAUCCGGAAGACAAGGGGCCUGGAAAAUAUUAGGACGGAUGACUACCAGCCCGUUGAUCCAAGCCCAAGCUCCAAAGCCACCAUCAGACCAGGUCCAAUUGAGCAUGGCGCACCGAUUCUUCCUUAUGUACCACAGUACCCACCGCCUCCUGGUGGCCACCCUGAGGGUGUGUCUCCUGCUGGAUCCCCUUCCACUUAGAUGCACGCUGAAAUUGUCCAAAUCUGCUAUGACCCCCUAUAUGCGGUCAAAGUCUGCUUUGUUAUGCUGUUUUCAAUGUUUACUAGUGUACCAUAUGUCUGAAAUGUUAGUGUCUUGGGGUUACCUGUAAGUGUUUUGAGUGGUGCAUUAUGUUCUAUGUAUGCUGUUCUUGAAUCAGCUGGUAUGGAGUUUUUUUUUUGCAGGCUGAAUUAGGUAACUGUUAAAAUGCUGAGUAGUGCACGCUUCUAUUUUGGACAUCACAAGUGAUCACGAUCAAUUUUCUGGUUUACUUCUUACGGUGCAUUGACACGGUCUGCCGCCAUGUCUAGGGGAUACUCCUACGAAUUCGUUCAGGAGAUCGAAGUUGAAUCGAUGCUGAAUUCUCAUGUGGUCUUGCGAACGGAUGCAUCGGUUUUGGAAAGCCAACAUGGGGUUUGCUAGGAAACGCUGAACGAAUUCGGGUCGGUUCAGGUGAUAGGUGAUUGCAUUUCCUUUCAUACCUGCACACGUUUCCUUCGAUGCUAUAUGUGGAAUUUCAGACAGGUGAAUAUAUGUGAUUGUACUUCGCCCGGAGAGCGUCCGCCAUUGCCGCCUUUUGGAAAGCAAGCGUGUCGAGCGGGGUGGGCCGGCGCAGAGAGGCCAGAGCGAUGCCGAAGCGGCACAGGUCGGACGACGCAGGCGACCGCAGAUCCAGGAGUUCAUGCCGCCGGUGCCCGCCGCAGCGGCAUCUCUACGUCGUGCUGGACGACUGGUCCAGGGGCUACAGCAUCUACAAGCUCGACGUGGACGGCUCCGGCGGUGGCGACCCCGACGACGCCGACUUGUACCUGCGCGCAGAGCGCCUCCCAGAGCCGCCGGUAUUCCGCCUCGAGAUGCCCGUCAAGGUGCGCGGACGUUUCGCGCUCUUCGCCGCGGUUGGCACCAGGAUCUUCGCCAUGGAUUACAGCGACGAGAACAGGGACGCCCCCGUGCUGGUGUACGACACGGCCACGGGGGCCCUGGCCGUCGGCCCCGCCACCCCCGCCGAGCUCCAGUACCUCCCCAAGCUCGUGGCCGCCGGCGACCGCUGGCUGUACGCGCUGGACAGGAAGGCCAGCGGCGGCGGCGACCACCUCAUGGCUGAUGGCGCUGGAGCCGCACGGGACGGACGGGUGGGGCUGGACCAGCAUCAGGGACGCGCCGUGGCAGGCGGGGUGCUGGCGGCGGGACUGGGGCAGCAUCAGGGACGCGGCGCUCGGCGGCGGGCGGGCCCCCGACUGCCACGCCGCGCACCCGGACGGGCGCACCGUCUUCUUCUCCGUGCACGGCAGGGGCACCUUCUCGCUCGACAAUAGAACGGAGGAGUGGGCGCGGCACGGCGAGUGGACGCUGCCGUUCCGGGGCCAGGCCUACUACUAGGCCGAGCUGGACGCGUGGGUGGGGCUCCGCUGGGUGGACGGGGACGACGCGGCUGGUCAAGGGCUCGUCUGCUCCUGCGACGUCGUUCCUCCUGACCCCGACGACGGCGACGGCCGGGAGCCGGCAUGGAAGGUCGCCGAGGUGGUCGAGGCGGACGGUGAGAGGACCGUGGCCGUGAAGCUGGCGCGCAUGGGCGGCGGCGUGUUCUGCCUCGUGGAACGCCGGCGCAGGAGGGGCGCGCACGACGACGGGGACGGGCGAUGCCUGCUCUACGCGACCACGUUCCGCCUCCGGUACGGCAAGGACGGGGAGCUGCGUGCCGCGGAGCGCCGGGCGCGCUGCUACGCGGUGCACAAGAGGUCGCAUAAGUUCGAGUGGCAGGCGUUCGGAAUCUGAUGAAACCGCCUCGAUUUCUUCCACCUCCUCGCCUUUAGCACAUUAUAAACUGGUGAAGAUCAUUGUACUGAACUGGAUGCUUCCAAUAGUUGCGCGUGUUAGCAUUUCGCAGGAGGAUGGCCAGCUGCUUGCAGACUGCAGGGCACUCUGUUCUGUUUCGCGAUCGAUUCAUGUGCUUUCUGAAGGGAAGCAAAUAGAAUCGUCUGCAUAGAUCAGGGUGUUGUUCCAGUGCAGAUGAUCGAUACCAUUGUGUUUUUUUUUCGAGAAAGCUGUAAUCUGAUUGAUAGGAGCGACGAGAAUUUCCAUGAUGGUCUGCAUUGAGAACUGUUGUGAUCGAUAUACAAAGCCACAAAGGCGAGCAUCUGCAUGUGUUUGGAGCAGAUGGAUGCUGAUGGGCCAUAUGAAUGCAGGAACGUUCCGAUCUGCGUCUGCUCACCACGAGCCGCGCCGGGAUGGCCGAAAUUUCCAGGCAGUACGUCCAGAUUGCCAGGGUUAGAAACAAGAAACUGAACUGAAUUUUCUUAAGAAAGCCUGUGCAAGGAGUAUUUGAAGUUAAAAUUUUGAACGCGUGCUACCCGGCAAAGAAUUGGCGUCUUUCAGUUCCAUACCGGAAUGUUCUCUCGUUGGGAGAAUUUCCAGAAAUUUUAUGCGAGCCAGGUGCCUCCUACGGCCCAGUAGCAAACUGAUAGGAGGAAUGUCCUGCCACGGCCCAUCUAGGUCCAAGCCAGGCCGCGCUGAUGACUUGACUUGACCUUGCCCGAAACCGAAAGGUGCCGGGUGUAAGCAAUCGAGCGAUCCUACCACUCUCCCCGUUUGUUCCAGUCCCCCACUCCAAUCUGCUGCAAAACCCUCAUCGUGCCUGCAACCAGCGAUCAAGCCGAUCUUCGCCAUGCCGUCCGCCUCCGGCCGCCGCAAGCCGUCGCGGUCCUCCUCUGCCAUCGUCGCGGACAAGGAGCGCGGGCGCCACGAGCUCAGGAUCGACGCCGGUACCCUCGACGCCGCCGCGCCCGCCGGAGAAAGGGGGCUUCUGGCUUCCUCCCCCUUCACCGUGGGAGGACACCGCUGGCGCGUCCGGUACUACCCCAACGGGGCCGACGCGGAGAGCAAGGGGUGGGUGUCCAUCUUCCUCUUCCUCGACGAGGACGUCGCCGAGCCGGUGACGGCGCGGUUCCGGCUCAGCCUCGUGACGGAGGUGCGGGCACUGUUCUGCAUCAAGUGCAAGGCCGAAUUGCUUUCAAAGCCCGAAGCGCAGUACAACUUCACGAGCAGGGGUACUUGGGGGUACUCCAAGUUCGAGCAAAGACAGACCGUGGCCUCGCUGGUGCGUCGCCGCGAGGUCGAUCGAUUCAGCAUCAGGUGCGACAUCGUCGUCCUCAACGGGUUCCGCACGAAGGAGGAGGCGCCGUCGGCCGCCAUUCCCCCGUCCGACCUGCAAAAGCACCUCGGCGACUUCCUGCAGAGCGGAAGGGGCACGGACGUGGUGUUCGAGGUCGGCGGCGAGGCGUUCGCCGCGCACCGGUGCGUGCUCGCGGCCCGGUCGCCGGUCAUCAGCGCGGACCUCCUGGGCGCCGCGAGCGACGGCGCCGCAGCGGCCGGCGUGGUGCGCGUGGAUGGCGUGGAGACACGGGCGUUCAAGGCUCUGCUCCGCUACGCCUACACCGACUCGCUGCCGGAGAUGGACAGGGAAGAGGAAGACGCCAUUCUCCGGAACGUCGCGGCGGACAGGUACAGCCUGCAGAGGCUGAAACUGAUCUGCGAGGACAGGCUGUGCAGACUCGUUAGUGUAGGCACGGUGAAGAUCACCCUUGCGCUAGCUGAGCAGCACAAGUGCGACAGGCUGAAGGAGGCGUGCCUGCAGUUCCUCGGUGCUCCGGCGAAUUUGCGGGCAGCCAUGGGCGCUCGUGGCCAGUAGCGGCCUCCUGCAUAUGCUUUUCACUGAUAAGGAUCUAACACUUUAACACCGAUGCCGGAAUCAUAGUCAAGUGAUGCUCAGUGAGUUUGCGUUUGUGGAUCAUGGUUCCUGCACUUCUCAUUGUCUUACAUUACCUGCUAGUGAUUAUCAGGGUGCAUAGCUACUUGGAUCCUAUGCAGAAGCAGAAAUUCCAUCUUGCCUUGGAAGAUAGUUCAUAGUUAGUUGCAGCCCUAUGACUGACAAUUGAUCAGAAUUCAGAAAUGACUUUGUUACUAUAUAGCUUUGCAGAUUGAAUGCUCACUAGGCAUCAGUGUUUGUUUCAAUGUUUGGGUGGAAGAAGCUGUUUGCCACUUUGCAUAUCUGUUCCUGUUUUCUAGUUGUAAGCUGUCAGGUCUAUGAGACUAUGACUGCAUCUAUCCAACGGAGAUGCAAAACACUGAAAAUGCAAUUGCAUUCACUCAUGCAGGACUCUGUUUCGGUCUCUGUUUUCUUGUUGGUCGCAUCUAUGAAACAGGUAGGAGGGAUGCUUGUAUGACUGAUACAGAAGAAGUGCCCUUAAAUAAUACAUCCACAGCUAGCCUUGUCUCUAGACCAACAAGCAAGUAAACAAAGCAACUCCUUACAUUGUAUUGAUCACAUGCUGAUUCUUUUAUUGCUGAUUUGCCUUAGAAACUACGAAUGUUGAGUUUCAGGACGACCCUACAGUCUACGAAUACGAUUGUUAGUCAGAAAGGAAGCCUACUUUCAAACCUAAAACAUGUGUUGAAACAGAGAUGCUUUACAUUUGAACACUUUUAAACCUGCAACAUGUGUUGAAAUGUAAAGCAUCUCCGACUCUCUGUUCAUGUGACAAUGCAGUACCAUCAGAAUGCAAUUUUGGUCGUGAUAAAACUUUCUUGAAAAAUCAAGUUUCCAUUUGUCCUGUUUAUUCUGAUCCAUGAACGUCAAUUACCCAUCUUGCCGACAACCCAAAAAAGAAACAAAAAGGCAUGAUUAGCUUGCAAAAUUAUGAACUAGUCAUAUAUGCUCAUGAUACCUGAUAUCAAGAUGUUACUAGCCACCUAUCUGAUGCAAUCUUCCAGUUCUGUGGAGCUGGUUGUUAGGAUUUCAAGGGUUGCUUUUAACUUAAGCUCGGACAAGCAGAACAAACUAAUGGUGAUGGUUUCCAUUAGUGGCUUCUUCCUUUCAAGCUUUUUUCAAUUGUCCCACUGACAUAGACGCUCCACACGAUGUUACAUAUUUUUUUUCAAAGAGAUCUUAGUGGGAUUUAUUCAAUGAUAUAUGUCACUGAUCCACGAAUCAAAAACUAGUACAUGUCAAAAGGAAAUUUGACCAAUAUGAACUUUAUGCCAGAAAGUAUAUACGUUUCUGUUAUGCUACACAAAGACCCUGUUUAGGUAGAAAGAAAACGUAUCCCAAGUCCAAAGCAAGUAGAACGAGCAUGUAGAAUACUUCAUCCUGGUCAUACAAGAACACCACAUUUGAUUCACAUGCCGAGCAAAGAAUCAAAGUAUUGCAAUCAACUAGGAUAAAGCUAGAAUGACAUGAGACCUAAUCACCAAGCAUCACCUGCAACAACUCGAUUACCAUCGUGACAUGUAUGUUCCUUAUGUUUCAAGGUAUAGCACCAUUAGCAUCCUAGUUAAAUCCACACGCACACCAUGCAUUACCGAAUCUUCAAACCAUGAAGAAUGCAAUCAUGCCAAAAAAAACUACCAUCCUUGCUUAUCACUAGGAGUGAGAUAUAAUUACCUCUCCACUGACAACCUCCAUCAAAUUCAGAACUGAGGAAUGCAGCAGAAGGCUCCCUUGAGUUCUGGUGCUAACUGACCAAAUUGUGCUUUAUUGGUGACACUUACCUUCAGUGAUGGACCUAUUACUACUAACUAACUAGCUAACAAGCAUUAUUAGCGGACAACUUGAUUGUUGAGCACCGGUGUUAAAACUCAGCAAUCAGCAGUCGCUGCUGGGCGACACCUCAGCUAAUGCUGACCUUUGUCGAGGUGAAAGCCUGAUGGUGUUGAUGUUGUUUCUUACAACAGUGUUCCUAGUACCCGGAUACAGUCAGAUAGGUUGUUAAGAAGCUGUUGUUGCAGUGAACAGUUUAUCUUUUUUUCGAAAAAUAGUUGUGUCCACUGAUCUCUCCUGCUGCACCGUGACAGACAUUUCUCGUCGAACAGCACCAGUUACAUCUCCGUGUUAAACCUUGAAUCCAUAGUAGUUUCUUGGAUAGUUAACAUCACAAGAUCUUUUUCAUGAUGCAUCAUUUUAAAUGGCACCGUCCUGCAUCUUGCAACUGAAGUCUGUUUACAUUUUCUCAUGUUCAUGUUGCUUGUCCAUCCAAAUCUUUGUAGACUGUGAACACCAAUAUCCAAAAAGGAAAUCUUAUUGCAGAUCUGGAUGACAUUAGUAAUACAUAUCUUACUAAUUUAGAAAUGCAUCGCCGAUGUUUCUUCCCCAAUACAACAAGAAGUCCUAUCUCACUGAUCUUCAAUGCUGUUAAGGUUGCAUUAUUCCAUUUAGCUGAGCUUUCAAGCAGAAAAGUGGAUUCCACUUUGACAAAUUCCUAAGUUUCAGAUGAGAAUAGAUUCUAAUUCAAGUCAAACACUACAAACAUGGUCUACUUUUCCUUGAGCCAUAUGUGAAGCAACUGCAUUUAGAUUCUUUGAGUGGUUCGUUCCCAGGAUAAGCAAAGAUUAUUCCCAAAACAACAGAAUUGAUACUUCCUUGCAAUGAAGUAUAGGCCUAUUCAUCUUACUGUUACUAAUUGGAGGUUCUAUGUGGACACUCUAGAAAAAUAGAGAAACGCUAGAAAUUCUCAAAAAAAACAAAACAUCUGGCCAUUAAUCGGUAGACUCAAAUCAUUAUAGUCAUUGGAUCUAUUAUGUUUUCUAAAAAAACACCCACCUAUGCCAUUAUGAAAAUAGCCUAAAGUAACCCCCUAAAUCUAUAUCUAAAAUUAUCCACAUCUGCCAUUAUAUAAAACUAAAGUAACCCCCUAUUUUCCAUCAAAACUACCCACUCAUGCCAUUAUAAACAAUAUUUAAAAUAACCCUCUAAAUUUGCACCUAAUUUCCCACCACUAAUACCAAAAAAAAUUUAAAGUGACCCCUUAAAUUUGCAUCUAUAUUACCUACUUAUGUCAUUAUUAAAAAUAACAUGAGGUAACCCUACAUUUGAAUCCAAAUCACCUUAAUUAAAAAUAUACAGCAAUAUAUGAUUCUAAAUCGUCUAUUUUUUAUACUAUUGGUAUAUGAUAUAAUAACUAAAGUAUAUACGGUGUGUCACUAUUUAUAAAAGAUAUAGAGGAAGUAAUGAGAAUAUAGAUUUCUAGGUUAAAAUUGUAGUUCAAACUUAGGAUCCAUUAAACAAAUUCAAGCGCAUACCAAAGUGAAAAGUUAAACAUUAUAAAUAUGGAUAAAAAUAUUAUAGAGUAAUUACUAACUAAAUUCUAUCACAAUUGGAUGAAGAUAAUAAGUAUGUAUCUAUAUAAGUAUUAUGUUCGAAUAUUUAACAAAUGAGAGAUAGCUUAUGGUAAUAGUUUUGUAGCAACGUGAUCUUUUUUUUUUCAUUGGAGACUCCACAUUAGUUCCCACGAGACACGCUAAAAAAAGAGACAAAUCCUAGAAAUUUUCACAAAAAUAAAAAAUAUCAAACAUCAAUUAUAUAAACUCUAAUAAUCAUAGCCAUUGGUCUAUUAUAUUUUCUAAAAAUGUAAUCACACUAUCAUUAUGAAAGUAUUUAAAAAUAAACUCUAAACCUAUAUCUAAAUUAUCGUUCAUUAUAAAAAAUAAUCUAAAGUAACUCCAUAAUCUUCAUCCAAUUUAAUCAUACAUGUCAUUAUAGAGCAUCAGUUAAAAUGACAUCUUAAAUUUUUAUCUAGGUUACCCACAUUUGUCGUUAUUAAAAAUAACCUAAAGUAAACACCUAAAUUUUAAUCUAAUUAUCUUCACGUGCAUCAUACAGAAAUAUCCAAAAGUAAACUAAUAUAUGAUUCUAAAUUACCUAUUUAUACCAUUGUUAAUAUAGAAAUAUUAAGUUAAAGUAUACACACAUGAUGAGUUUCACCAUUUAGAUCAUUUAUUCAUGUUUGUGAGAAAUUGAUGAAAAUAUUGAUUUUCAUGCUAAACACAAUGUAUGGAGGUGCGAUACAAAAUGAAAAAGUGUGAACGUGCAUGAAAAAGUGUACAUAACUAGAUAAAGAUAAGUACAUAUCUAUAUAACUAUUAUGUUGAAGUAUUGAAAAAAAUAAGAGAGCUAAACAAUGUUGAUUAUUAGCUAGGAGUUUAAUUUCUAAAUAAUUUUUAAAUACAAUAGCUUUUAAAAACAUUAGCUUGUGCGGGAGCACGGGUUGAUAGACUAGUACAACUAAAUGGAAUGUACACAAACACAACAAAUUGGAGCAUUGAAUUCCAAGCUUGUUGAACAUUACUUUGUGCUAUCUUCAAUCCUUUGUAACUUGCAAGCAUGGGGCAUGGCAAACACAGAGCAUCAAGCAACGCCAAAGCAAUGAGGUGUACACAAGAUGAUCUUCUCCACUUCAGAAUAACGCAGUGAACGUAGCUGCAAGCAAGGUGUAGGUUUCGCAGAAGGCGUCCGAAGAACUCUCCUCUUCCAGGGAUAAGGGCAUUCAGAAACUUCAUAUAAUCAGAAGAGUUGGUCAAGUUCCGGCGCACGCUUAGCUGUUGCCAAUUGAGAUUACAAAUUUGGUGCUCGUCUGAAAGUUUGUGCGCGUAGCUGUUGCCACUCCAAAUUGUGAUGCUCCUUAUCUGAAAGCCACUCGCAUUCUUCGUAGUCACGCCGUGGUGAUGCAAAGGCAUACGCAUCAUAAUGCAUAAACAAUUAUUCCAGCCGUGCACAGCUUAGCAACUGGAGUAUGAUUGCACAUACAUCCCACAGCUGCAGUAGUCAGUAUGAAGCCAUGUAAAGAUACUGCGCUCAAGUCCUCUUUUCUUUCCCUGUAUACCACUUCAUAAUGAUAGUACGUAGUAGAAAUGAUGAGUUUGUUAAGAGUUACAGUCUGUUACACGAGUACAUCAAAACUUAAAUGCUCAUGUUCAGAGAAGGUACCUGAAUACAGUGCAAUGUACCAUUUGUUGUAGUAAGAGGCAAGUCUUCAGUACAGUACCUCAAACUGAACUUUGCGGUUACUACUAUCCUGGUACGUUUGAUGAGUGGCGAACUGCCUCGCUUCUUCGAUGUUCCUGUGCUGAAUCUCCACGCUGAUCAGAGUCAGUAAGUCACAUGCUGUAACACUGUUAUGAUUCCAUACCUACUUUAGCCCUUGAUAAACUACUUUAAAAGUUAACACUGCAUAAAAAACUGCAAAUCUUCAUGAACUCUCUCUCUUUCUCUCCAGGGCAAUGGUCCAGCUCUUCUAAGAUGCUGUCACUUUUACCCUCUGGAGCAGCAGCCAGAUGCCGGCCCUUUCUGCACAUGCACUAGCACAUGGCUAAAUGCCAAUGUGGUUCUGUAUUUGAAACUAAUGCAUACGUUUUUGAGAAAGUAGAUACAGUGUUAUAUACAAUCUGUAAAUCAGCAAAGAUGCAUACUAAUGUGACCCCAGGACUGAAUUGAUUAAAGGCAUAAAAAAGAUAGUAGAACCUCCUUAGAAGCAAAGGGGGUGAGGAGGACAAGGAAAGGUAUACAGUUCAGAGUGAGGAGGGAACAGUGUGGGGCCUCACAAAGCUUAAUCUGCAAAUAAUGGCUCCCUUUAAGGGCCCUAAAGCUGAUGCUUGCUGGGUUUUGGAGACUCAUUUGUGCGGAGCGGCCGAUUAAACAGGCGAGGCUUGGGAGGACAGGCUGCAGCUGCCGAGCUCCUCCUAGUUCGCGUUGCCACCUCGUCAGUCAGGUACUGCUGAAACCUUUUGCAGCCUCUGAAAGUUCAGAUUUGCUUUCUGCUCCUGUAUAGUUUGGUUUCUGAUUCAUUUUCUUUGGAAUCUUGAGAUGCUCGAUCUUGUGAUCUUUCGCCAUUGCCUUUGCUGUUUCUUGCUCCUUUUUCUCACUUUUUAUGGGGCAUCUCUGAAUAUAUGAGCUUAUGAACUGGAUAUGCAAUGGCAUUUUGAAUUGUAAGCUGUCAGCAAGAUGCAGCUUUUUAAUCUUUUUCUAGUUGACGAGUAUGCAUGACCCUUACAAGGAGAUCGUAGGCCCAGAGCCGUUUUAAAUUUAAUUAGGAGGCCUCAUUUCUUAGUUUAGCAAAUUUUAGAAUGCAGAGAAAAAUCACACUUUCUGAUUGCAGCCUUUGUGGAUGUCGGUCUUGACACUUUAGACUAGCAAACACAAUAUUUCAUCAACAGAUUAAUACCUAAAAGCAUUCAGAAGCAAUUAUUUUGUUUUCAUUUCAGUAGAUUUUUCAAGCAAAAGUACACGUAGAACAGUAAAUUCAGUCACAGAGCAUCCCAUAAACUUCACGUCGAGAUGACUACGUAUUCCCAUGCGAUACCUUGUGUUCGUCAGGAUCGAUACAGCAGUUGCAGCCAUCGGUAUCAGGUGGGGUGGUAUUUUGGCGCUUUCAGAGCGGCGUCGGUGUGGUAGGCAGGAGCAGUUCUUUCUGUGACGUUUACACGCGCGAAAUCGAAAUAGCAGUAGUGUGUGAAGCAAGUACGCAUCGAUGGACCUAGCCACAAAAGCCAGAGAAAAUUCACGAAGGGAAAUGUCCACGAGAGCUCCCGAUUGUUGUCACAUCCUUGUCGCCGGGAUCGUUGCCCGUGUCGUCAUCCUGGGGCUCUUUGUCACGGCCUCUGUAAAUCGCAAUCAGAAUACCUGCAUAGCUUCUUAGUCACAUGUACUGAUGGUUUUCCUCCCAGAAUUAUUUUAUGUCGCAAAACAAAACAAGAUGCAGGUCAUGGGCUUCACCACCGUAGAUUGGCAGAAAUUCCUCCCCCAACCCCACCCCCCAAAAAAAAUGCGUUGAAUUUGCGGUGCUGGUCUUCUUACUGCUCCUUUCGUCCUUUGCUGUAGCCUGAGCGAGUGAUCCGGAGCAUGUCUGCAUCUCUGCAUGUGAGUGAAAUUUGACACGUAUGAUAUUUUACAAGGCACAUGGUUAGAGCCUUAUCCCAGCUACAGUACCUGCAGGCGCUGUAUACAAUACAUGUACAUUGCAAAUAAGCACGCGCAUGUGUACUGUUGGGAGCAUUAGCGACCUGAGCCGCAGGCAAACGCAACGCAAUCAUGGAUCCCUGGCGCCUUCCCCUGUCCGAUCCUCUGUCCAAUUGCCUGCCUGAUUGGCAUCACCGCCUUCAUGCAUUUGCCACUAGUCAAACCGAGCUGCAAAACGAAAAUGAGCAGCUGAUCAUUGGGAUGGAUCUGUCAUCUGUUCCUGUAAUCCUGUCCAAGAUCUGGGAGAAUAUGCAAUGUUUAUAGGCAGUAGUACGUGCUUGAACUUGAUGCACGGCUUGGCGAGGGGACGGAAUCUUUUAUCUUUCAUGGAUAGUUGUUUUUUGCUCCUAAGUGCCCCUGUCUGUCAGCGUGUUAUUGGCUGAUUCACGCUGCUCCCGGACAAAAAUUCAGGGCACAUGGUAUCUGCAUGAUUUGCGAAGGAGCACCGGCGGAUGCAUGGCUCGAUACGUCGGCGUUCCACGUAGCUUCUUCCGGCACGUUCGUUGUCGCCACGUUGGAGUCGACGUGCCGACCAAAAGACACAUUAGGUUAACUUCGAUGGGGGGGGGUGGGGGGGGGGGGGGGGGGGUUGCUAGAGCGUGGCCGUGACCGUAGUACGAUUUACCCAUGAAGGCCUUGUUUAGUUCCCAAUCUGGGAGUAGCAAAAUUGGCAUUUUGCCAUAAAUGCGCAACUGUAGCGUUUCGUUUGUAUUUGUGAAUUAUUGUCCAAAUAUUGACUAAUUAGGCUUAAAAGAUUCGUCUCGUAAAGUACAGCAAAACCGUGCAAUUAGUUUUUGAUUUCGUCUACAUUUAGUACUCCAUGCAUGUACCACAAAUUUGAUGUGAUGGAGAAUCUUCUUUUUGCAUAGUGUCAAAGUUGGAAGUUUGGAGGGACUAAACAUGGCCGAAGUCACUCACAGUCACAGUCACAGUCCCAGCUUACAGUCCGGUCCCAGCUUACAGUCCGGCAGAGGGGCCCACGCCAGGUGUACUACGUCCGUGGUAGGAGUAGGACCAGCGCCCGUGCCGCGGUAAACGGAUGCGACGAAGGAGAAGGCCGAGGGGCAGAGCCGGGGAAGGCGGUGAAAUAGAAAUUGGUCGGCCGGCCGGUGGUCCAGGGUCACCGGGAGGCAUGCGGGUUUUUUUUUUUGGCCCCGUAUCCCCGUCCGUUCCGCCGCUGCCUCGGUGGCGCCGGGGCGUGCCGUGCGGCUGCUGGCUCGGCGCAUGUGCGCCCGCCACCUCCGUUGGUCUGGUCCCGUGGCCGCCUGGCAUAGCGACGCGGCAAUGCCCAAUGCCCUCGCCUUCCCGCACGGUUCGCGGUUGGGGAAUGGGAAAAAUGGCAAAAUGGAGUGGUAGUGCACUAGUUCUACUUGCAGCAGUUGGGGAGAGUCCAGACCUUCCCAUGGGCUAUGGCCAUCACUGGCCAACCGCACCACGAUUUCGUUGGCCUGUAAAUGCAGCAGCCACGGCCAAUCCGUGGACGAAUCCGAUCCCGUUAUGCUGCAGCACUUUCCAUCCAAUCCAAGUUUCCAACCCAUAUCCUUCCGAGUUGACCUGUCACUCUGACUUGGUGAGCCCGACAGCUGGUCUUCACUCUUUCACUGUACUACAGCAGCCGCCGCUGAUGCUGAUGCUGCAAUAGUUGGGCCGUCACUGUGCCGCAGGCUCACAGGCUCACAGCAGUACAGCACCGGUCGCACUGAUCCCUGUCCCUGAUCCGUGUGGAGCUCGCAUUUUUUUCUAGAAAAAAAAAAACUUGGAGCUGGCAAUUUACCCUCGAAAGACGAGGAUUCUUAAUGCCAUCUAGACGCCCCUAGCUUUACAGCGCCAGCUCCAGCGGCGGCAGCUUUUGUAUCCGGCAAGCGCUGCCGCGGGAGCCCGGCCGGGACGGCCGCGGCGGGGACCAUGGAUAACGUGGCCGUUUGCGCGACGACGACGCGGAGGUGGAGGUCGAACCGCACGCCGGCCGGAACAGUCUUACCGCGGGCAGUUCGGAUAAGAUCCGCCGGCCGAAAGAAAAGGCGGCCACCGUGCGGCGUGGGGCGCUUUGCGGCUUUGCGCUGUGCCGGCGUGGCGUGUGCGAGCUGUGAGGACUGAGGACUCUGCAGUGUGUUGGCUGGGCUGGCGCGUUCGCUUUACAGCCUCGCCGCAGUUGCGCGCGCACGGGCAACGCCAACGCCGGCCGGCUGCGCCGCUGGGUAGGUUUGGUUUGUGGAGCAGCAAGCAGCGAAGGAAGAGUUGGAGGACGGCCUGGUUGACCUUUCGAUAGCGCGAGCUACCUGCCCCUGCGUUUAGGUGUGUGCCGGGUCCUAACAGCCAAGCCCACUCGGUCGGCCUCGUCGAGCACGAGCACGACAGCAACUCGACACGACUAGCGUACGCGCGCUAGUAUCCAGUAGGUGCCGAACACGUAUGGUACUGUGCGUUUGGCUACCUAGCUGCUUUCCGGUGAUUUUAAAUUCCGCACAUGGACACGGCAUGCACCUUAUCAUACUUUGAGCGCCCGCCCGCUGUACGUGACACGACACGUACAGUAGCGUCGCCGUCGGUGGUAUUAAAGGAAUAAUGUUACGAACUCUAGUUGCUCAUUCAAGCAACCAUGCUGGUGUGUGUACGUAGUACAAAAAUUAGUAAAGAUACUUAUCGUCACGGAUAGGUAGCGUAGGAUGCAAAGCAGCGAUCGAUCGGGAUCGGUUACACUAUUGAGUACUGAUGCCUCUCGAGUCGUCCCAACUGCUCCUUCCUUGGACUAGCUGUACGUACUGCACUAGUAGUUCGUUUUCUGACUCCCGACACACCUAAAACUAAAGCAUUGGGAACCCGGGGAGCUGCGAUACGUACGCUACCCUGGUCGAUCGAAGCGUCGUGUCAAUCCCCUGUCAAGUUCGGUAGAAGCCGCACACACGGAUCGGAAGCGCACCAACAUCACGUGAUAAACGGGACAGCACAGUGACUUGAGCUGACCUUUGCGUAUGUAACCACAUGCUCGUAAUUGAUUACGACGAUGAGAGUACACUGAUCUGCUGCCUGCGUCGUCCCUCCUGUCUCCAGGACGCCGGGGUGGUGGUCUCCUGUGGACGGCGACGCGCACGGCCAGGGCAUGCCUGCCCGUGCUCGCGGGCAGUGUGGGCUAGUCUAGUGGCACCGCGUCGUGCCCGUCCCGUGGCUGCGCCGGCCGGCCGUUGCUUGCUUGCUUCUUGAACGACACACUGCCACAGGACAGGACCGUGGGGUUUGCUGAUUAGCGCGCGUAUUAGGAGGGCCGGCAUCCGUAGCCCGCGACUUUCCUUUUUGAAAAGUUUUAAAUCCCGUACUUUAUAUUUUUGAAAUAUCAUAAGUUGUACGCAUAACUUUAUUUAUAAGAUAAUUUUUUAAGCACAACUUCAAUAACAUACGGAAUGUAUACAACUCUCAUGAUAUACAUCACUUAUACGCAUAACUUAUGAGAGAAUGUUGUUAAAAAAAAUUAUGCACAUAACUUAUACGUAUAUACAAUAUUUUUUAGCACAACUUCAAUAGCAUGCAGAACUUAUACGUACAUCUUUCAUGAUAUAUAUAACUUAUACACGUAACAUUUGACUUUUGAGAAAAAACUAUAUUUACCUGGUAUAGAAAAAAAAUUGAAAAGAAAAGAAAAACCACGCGGGUGCGCGCAACGCGCGGGGCAGCACAUUGGGGAGGGGGUGGGGGGGACCCACCGGCCGCUCGCGUCGCGCCCCGCGGAGCGCUGCAGCGCGCGCGUGCCGGAUUAACAUCGGGCAGGACCGUCCUCCUGCCAAUAUAUACGUGACCACGCGGGGGCGAGUUGGUUGAGCUGUAUUUGUCCAACGCUCCCAACUACACUUUCAUCUUUCUUUUUGUCGCCACAAUAAUACAAUGAUCCACACAAAGCUAUCGUCAUGGUUUAGUAGUAGCAGCAGACUAGCAGUGAUCAUAACAGUUUUCAUGAAAUGGUGGAGUAGUGGCUGCUUGGGAACGCAUUUUGGUCAUGGGGGACAGGAUGGCAGGUCACGGUUCAGAUCGGCGUUUUUUUUUUUUGGGUUCUGUGUGUGUGUGUGUGUUUUCUUUUGGCCCAUGCAUCAGGCACCAGGAAUUCCAUUGAGACCAUGACUAGGUAGGCAGAGCCUCUAUAUAUAGUACUACUAGUUCUUCCGUGCCCAUAUUCCUAUGAUGCAAUAACAUGUAGUGCUAGUAGUGUGAUAAAAACAACUCAAUCUGCCGGGCAAGUCACAUGGCUAUGUGAUAACUAUAUACAUGUUCCAUAUUUUAUUUCCUGGCCGAUUUGGUGCUCGUAGUCUGGUCAGGAAAUUGGCAUGUGAUUGACGUUUGGACCUCGCCCAUGUGGCUUGUUUUUGGCAGGAAAGAGGAAACAAAGCUUCCUUGCGCCCCCCCCCCCCUCCCCCCCCCCCAAAAAAAAAACAAUGUGCUUGGUGUGCGCUCUAAGCACCCGCUUGACGAGCAUUACAAGUUUAAAUUAUCAUCAUACAAUCAAGUCAAUGUUUGUAUCUCAACCCUGGCUGGGUGCAAUUUAAUUACAUUGGACAAGAGUCACGAACUAAGCAGCCGACAACAUUACACCUCUCACAGUCAAAAAGGGUCUCUAUUUCCCUCUCCUCUGCACAAGAGUUAAGAGGGAGCUUCGUUGAUUUAGAUAGUUAAAUUUAAGAUCCUUUCAUGCUUGUGUUACAUCAUGACAAGACCAUCCUUUUGGGCAAAUGGACCAAAACACCCUUCCGGGUCACUGUUGCUCGACAGGCCAUUCUCCUACACGAAUUGGCAUCCUUUUACUAGGCCCUCCAGUGGCGCCUGCUGGACCUCACAAGACGCUCUCAAGAAAAGCAGGGCAUUAGGAAGGUUAGAUGCUAAGCAAGCAUGCAAUUAGGAAAAGAAAGUGCCCGUCUGAGGACGACUCCUUAGCGAGAACACUAUAGCCGCCGCGACACAGAUCUGGCAGGCAUGGGCAGAGGCCAGAGGGGUUAUUGGAGGGAGCUAAUAGCUAGCACUGCAAAGUCCAGUUCCAAGCUGUUGUUAAAAAGGCACUGUUUACCUAAAACCCAAGAAAGGGGCGAAAAUGACGUUAUUAUGUGCAGCAAAUGAAGCGCCUGUUAGAUUUAGGGAGUACAUAAAAUUAAUGGUUGAUGCUUAUGGGCUGUUCAUAUGAAGAAACCGAUUAACUUUGUGAAUUUAAUUUUCUUUUUAUAUGCACACUUAUCAUAAUUGCAGCCGUGCAAGAUAACACCUUUUUAUAUUACAAAGAAAGCAACUAACUGGUGAGUGGUGUGUGUGGUAAUAUGCUGACUUUUUUGUAUUGAUCUUUCUCAUGAGUCGCAUAAGCAAUCAUAAUGCAAAAGACCUGAUAAUUUAAAACUAGUUAUUGCCUAUAUUUAAGAGAUCUUCUAGGACAUCCCGUCUAAGAAUUUUGGAGAUUCAGUACAAAAGUUCCAACAAGAAAACUCACCUAAAAAGGCCACCUUUCCCAUGCUUGCUUUUUCUGUGCCAUCCACGGCUUUUAUCAUUUGCAAAAAGAAAUUUUGCAAACUGGAAUUGUUAUGCGUGGCCAUGUUAAGGUCAUCUCUUUUUUUUCAGAAAAGAAAUUUUUGCUCAUGUCAUUUUUAUAGUUCACAAGAUAUACACCAAAGCUUUUGUUAAGGGUAGUUCUGGUGGGUCAUCCAUCAAGGGAAAGGUUGGGUUGUGAUUAAUGAUUAUAUAUUUAUAUACCCUCAAUAAUUGUGACGUUUAAUCUAAGUAAACUGAGACCGGCUCAGGAAUUGAGAUCGCAAGUAGCCAUCAGGACCAGACCGCCACAUAUGUAGUGCAUGCGGUGCGAGCCAUGAGGUGGACUCGUGGCAUCGCCAUCGAUCCAAUCGUGACCCCCUUUCGAUCGGAGCGUCCAACCCAACCAUAAAUCCCGCUCGCUAAUCAGUCCACUAUUCGGUUAGAAUCGUGCAUGGUGGAUGACAAAACCUUUUUCGAUGCUUACAAGGUGUUAAUUUUUUCACAUAUAUAGCAUUAUCUUGGUGUUAUUUGUUUUCCGGAAAAAAAAUUAGGUAAAGAUUUUGUAAUAAAUGGAGUGCUUGCAUUAAAUUUUGCAGUAAUAUACCAAUUCUGAAAUGGAGAGUGAAUAUACAAUGUCAUCGUUUCUCUUUUGUAGAGAAUUUUGAACAUGAUUUGUCACUUAGCUUCUUUAUUUUCAAUCCUUAAAUAAAUAUAAAUUGUAUUUUUGUCCCUCUCCAGAAUUAAUGAAUUAGGUUGAGAUCACUGCAAUAACGAAUUCCAUCGAGCACAUGGUGCAAAAGCAAUUUGGUACGGAGUUCGUAUUGGUACAGGUACAUGAGCAAACACCUAACGAAGCAAUGUAAGCAUAGACAAAUGUCCGUUUCAAUUCCAUCAAUAGCGCCCUAAAGUAAGGUACUGGUACUGGCAGAUGAUCGCAGUUUAGCUAACCUACUCAAGCCUUUCAGCUCCCGUAAUACUUGUUCAUAUACAAAACCCACCUUUUGAGUUAAUUUUACAAUCUAUUUUUUCUCUGAACCAAUUUUCUCCUCUCAUCCACAGCUAUGUAGACCAUUUUUUCAUGACAUUUCUAGUGGAUUAAAUUAAAUUAAUUUUCAUAAUUGCAACUCUCUCCCGUUACGUUUGCAUCUCCUUCAACUUUUGUUACAGUAUAGCUAAAACAGUAAGAUUGAGAAGCAGGGAAUCUCCAUUAGUAGUUUUGCUUCAAACAUCUGCACACGUGUCGCUUUCCAACCUAAUAAGUAGUAGUAAAUUGGUAAGAUAAAAACAACCUUUUUCAUUUUUUUUGUUCGCUUCUCAUUAUGUACUACCCUUUGUCAAAUUCUAUAGCUACCAACUCAAGAAAGAACUGUUUCUUUCCUCAACAACCCCUGUGACCAAAUUCAUGGUUUUUUCACAUGCUACCCCACCCAGAAACUGUUGUUCCGAAAUGGCACUGUCGCUCUCCCUCCAAUAGAAAUGUUUUAAGAAUCCUUUCUAUGGAAAAGCGAAAACAAAAGAAAAGAAGAAAAGGUUACGCCGGCCAGCCUCACCCUCCCCUGGGAGGCUGGGACCGCGUCACGGCCACACCAGAGGAGGGGAGAGGCCACACCCACACAGCCGCAGGCCAGAAGAAUCAGCAGCAGAGCAGCGAGCUGCCCAAGCAAAGAUCCCCAAAACCAAAGCAAAGAUACAAAAACGAGUAAAACAACUGCAAAAGAAAAAAAAACUAAAAAAAAGUCAGGCAAAAUCCCCACUUCACUCCUCCCCUGCCUCUCCUCUACCUCAAACUGUAACACUGCCUCACCAGUUCGCUGCUGCUCCCCGACCUCGCAGGCGCGUCGAUCCGGAGGGCGCCCGCCGCCGCCUGCGGGAGCGGAGGCCCGGGCAGGAGCGGAAGCGUGGGCGGCGAAUCUGGAGCCCGGGGGACCUGCAUUGCCGCGGGGCCGCCGCGCGUAGCCAGAUCUCCCUCCCCCACCUGCCGCGGCACCGGCACGGCAUGGUGGCUGCCGCGGCGGCGGCCACCGCGCCAGAUCCGGCCCACCCCGCGCGCCCGCCGCUCACGCCGGCGCUCGACAAGCCCAACUCCGCCGCCGCGCGGAGGAACUCGCGCUCCAACAAGCCCGUCUCCUCCAGGUACCUGUCCGCCGGCGCCGCCGCCGCCGCCGCGUCCCCGGCCUCCUCCACGUCGUCCUCCACGUCUUCGUCCUCCUCGUCCUCGUCCCGGCGCUCCCUGUCGGCGCAGCGCACCCGAGCGUCCACUCCGCCGCCGCAGCACUCCACGUCGCCCACCACCACCGCGUCGGCAGCGGCCGCGGCCGCGGCGGCGACAGCUACCGCGACCACGAUGCGGAGCCUCUCGGUGUCGUUCCAGGGGGAGUCCUUCUUCUACAAGACGUCGCGCGCGCCGCGGGCCUCGUCGCCGUCCUCACCCGCUGCGCGGCGCGGGCCCACGCCGGAGCGCCGGAAGAGCGUGUCCUCCGUGCCGGAGGCCGAGAACGCGCGGCCGCAGGGCCGAUGGCCCGCGGCCAAGCCCAAGGCAUCGGACCCGCUCGCUCGCAGCCUCGACUGCAGCCUCGACCGCAAGGACUCCAUCCUCGCCGCCGUUCACCUGCUCCGCCGCUCUAUGGCCUUCGACUCCACCACAUCGCUCUCCCCGUCCGACCCGGCAGCUGCAGCAGCUCCAGACCUGUCCGCGUCCUCCGAUACAGACAGCGUCUCGUCUGGAAGCAACUCGGGCGCCGGUGAUCCCCCGCGCCGCGGCAUCAGCGUGCCGGCAAGGUUCUGGCAGGAAACCAACAGCCGCCUGCGCCGCCUUCCAGAGCCUGGGCUGCCACUACCAUCGUCUGGCCGGAGGUCGUUCUCAGACAGUCCAAUGUCGCCAAGGCUGCCGGGUCGGUCCCCAUCUCCAUGCCGUGGAAGCAGGGGCGCCGCGAGUCCAUCAAGAGGGCGUGGUGGGGAAGCAUCGCCAAAUGGGCAUAUGAUGCAAGCUCCAGCAAAUGCGCCAUCUAUCAUCAGCUUUGCUGCGGAGGUGAGGAGGGCGAAGAAGGGAGAGAACAGAAUCGAGGAAGCACACAGGCUGCGGCUGCUGGACAACCGGCAUUUGCAGUGGCGGUGCAUCAAUGCACGGACAGACGCAUCACUUCUGGUGCAGAGCUUCACUGCCGAGGUAAAUCAAACCUUGAUAUUGGUGUUAGGUUUACCUAUGCAUUUCACUCCUGCAUCUAGUGUUCUAGUACAGUUAAUAAAAUCAUUUUCGUGUGUUUGGGGCUUAAAUAUUGCAAAUCUGUGACACGUCCAAGGUAUCGAUGAUCUGCAAUCUUACAUUCUGUUUCUUAUUUGUUAGUUUGGGUGCUUUCUUGAUAUGAUUUUUUAGGAUAGAGUAUUCAAUAUAUCACAUGGAUAAGAUUGGCAACGGUAAACAAUGCAAAUUUUCUUUAUUUUCCUCUUUUGGAGCCUGAGAAGAAAGUUGAAAGUUAUGGACCACUAAGAUUGAGCAUUUCUUGAUACUGCAUACAGUUAUUGCAUUGGAAAAUUGGGGUGAAUUAUGUUGCAAGUCUGCACUUAAAUAGAACAAAGGAGUUACCAACAGCUUGUUUAUUGAUUUGCCAAAAAUGGAUUUUGGCAACACUAGAUGGUGAACGAUCAUAAAUGGGAACUGCCAACUAUAAAUGCACCAACUAUCAUGCACAAGGUCCUGCAAUUUGCUGUACGUGAAAAAUAGCAAGGAUAAAGUGGCAUCUUUGGGUUUUUAGCAAGAAAAUGUAAAUUAUGGUGUCAUCUAGAUACGCAUAUAUAGAGUCUAUACCUCUAGACUUAGAUUACAUCAACUAGAACGAAAAUGCAAUAUCUGGUCAUGUCCAUGCUUUUCCUCUUUAUUGAUUUGUGUGAACCCAAACAUUCCAAUGUGCCACUUUGAUUUGCCACUAGAACAAUCCCUAGUUGAUUGUUUGAUGCUAGGGAAGCCAUUGGUAGGUGGGAAGAGAUUAUACCGAGUCAGAAUUUGUAAUGUUUCAUUUCAUAUGCCAGUCCAUACUAUUGUUGAUACAAACAUUUGGCAAUUGUCUGGAUAACUUGGCAUCUAGAAUAAAAGAAAAGAUCUUCCGGACCAACUUAUUGAAUAAUGGUAUUGAUGGCACUAUCCAUGACACAACCCAGCAAUCUAUUUGUGAUAUGUGUCUUGUGAGUAUUUGCAAUUUUGCAUGAUCUGAGUCUUAUUAUAGUGCUUCGUGGUAUAUUGGCCAAAUCUAUGCAAGUCUAGCCACCUUGAACCCCUCUGUUGUGCGCAGUGUGCUUAUGAUUCAAAGAUUUGCUAGAUUGAAUUGUCGUUUAAGUCUGGUGGUGAAACACAGUGAUAUUUAAGUACAAAAGAACUUGUUUAAGAUAUGUGGGGUUUCUUAUUUCUCAUUGCAUUACAGACUUCAAAUGUACAACUAAUCCUGGUCAAAGUGGAUUAAACAAAUAUGAUAAUGCUGUGUAAGAGAAUCAGAAAAAGGGUCAAAUGUUCUGAACAGUUUCUUAUUCCCCUCUUCUUCAGAAAACCCUUCACAGCGCAUGGAAAGAAAUAUCAAGAUUACGUGACAAUGUCAGUUCCAAAAGAUGCAGACUCCAACUCCAGAAACAAAAACUUAAAUUGUUUGCUAUUCUUAGGGGUCAGGUAAGUGAUACGAUGCAUUUGCUAUUUAACAUAUUUAUGUGGCUUGCACUAGGAUUUCUUGUUGCUGGUUGGCUUUGUAUAAUUAAUGUAUCUAUGCCAUUUGACAUGUUCAGAUGUCGUAUCUAGAGGACUGGUCUCAUAUAGAAAAACAUCAUUCAAGUGCUUUAUCAGCAGCAAUUAAAGCACUGAAGGCUAGUACUCUUCGUCUUCCGGUUGUUGAUGGUGCAAAGGUUGGCAAUUGUCUAAGCAGGUCUAGCUAUGUGGCUUGAUUUGAUAUGCACAAAAUAAUAGUCACCUAUCUCUGUGCAGGGUGAUGUGCAAGGUGUGAAGGAAGCUGUUAACUCAGCUGUGGAUGUAAUGCACACAAUGACAUCCUCGAUAUGUAAUCUGCUGUCUAAGGUAUGUAUAUAUACCCUGUCUUCCUACAGAGCUGCAAUUUAUAUUUCUUUUCCCCUUGGAUUUUCUUUUUAUCAUGAUACAUCAAUAACAAAAAAUCGUCAAUCCCAAAUUGGAAGAUGCUUCCAAAUAAAAUUUUGGUGCAUGGCUAUGUCUUCAAACAGAAAUUUGUAUUUAUUACAAGCAUUAUGGCUCUGCUGUACAAAAUAACUAUGAGGACAAUGUUUUUUUCCUUUCAAUAGCCAGUGCUAUUUCUUCUCUACUGAAUACUAUGUAACAUAGCUGUGUUGAAUGUUCUAAUUCCUUUACCAUCUUGAGAUGGGCUGUAUAUCUUGAUCUAUGUUGUACCAUCCGAAGUUUACAAUUUCAAAUUAGACAAGGGUGGUGUUGGCAUUUUAAGAAAACAAAAAGCGCAAGAACAUGGACAUUGUUCUAAGCGAACAUUUUUUCCAUGUAGAUUUAAUGAAGGAAAAUUUUCCUAGACAUGUUCAAAUAUGAUACUGUUGUUUUCUGGUAAAAUAGUUAGCUUACACUGGUUACCCACUAGACAAUUAGUAUCUUGGAAUAUUUGGCAAUAUAUUGGACUGCAUGCCUGUGGAUUUAGUGAGAGAUACAAGAUUUGCAUUGGAACCAUAGCAUCUCAUAGUGAACUUUUUGUAUCAUCUCGUUGAGUCAAAAUAUGAUAACUAGCAACCAUGGAUUGUUUGCCUGUUCUGCUGGCGAUGCAACUUAUUGCUCCAUGAACUCAGUGUUACAUGUAAUUUAUUCCUUCAUGAACAUGCAUUACAUUUUAUGUCAGAUAUUUACCGGGGAAGUCUCUGAAUGAUAUAUUUAUUCAUCUUCAGGUUGAGGGAACAAGCUCUGUAGUGUCUGAGCUUGCUAAACUCGCCACACAAGAACAAAUGUUGUUGGACCAAUCGAAGGAUCUCUUGUCCACGGUUGCAGCAAUACAUGUAGGGACAUCUUCUAUAUAUGCUCUUUUUACUCAAUUAUUCUGUUACUCAAUUUUAUUUAGUUCACCUUGUUAAUUAUCUGAUUUGGAAAACAGGUCAAGAAGUGUAGUUUGCAAGCCCACAUGCUGCAACGAAACCAAAAGCAGUGCCCGACACACUUGUAGAUCAGUUUGCCUCGCCACGUUGGGUGGUCACUAACAUCACACGGCCUCGCCUUUUCUCACCGGAGACUGUGCUACAGGUAAUAAAAAAGAUGUAACCAUUUGUUGGGUGUGAAGCGUGUCCUAAUCUGCUCGAUCGACCUCACCGAGUGUAGCUGAUUCAUGUAAUUUUUUUUGAGUGCAUAUCAACCCAUAGAAGCGGCCCCCUCUUUACCUGCAGUCGCCGCAGCUGGUGUAUACAGAAAUCUCUAGCCUUGACCCAAAGAUAAGCUUUCCUGUAGAUAUGAAAAAAAGCUUGUCGUUUGCGUGCUUAACUCUUGCGUGUGGAGUGCUCGAGUGGUGAUGAGUGUUUGUAUUGUGAAAGGGAGACAUUUUGUUGGCUUGAUACAGGGUGUUUUCAUGGCAAAAUUAACACGGAGGUUGUUUAUCCUGACUUGCCUAUGGAGUCAUGGUAUCCGCUCUGAGCCUCUGAUGCAUCCUGAUUCUUGAAAGAAUGGAAAUAACUAACUCUACAUUUUCCACAUUUUCCUAGCUCCACUCCACCAACUUCAGAAAAAUAUGGAGCUGUUGCAUGUGUUUAGCUGGUGGAAGUGUUCUAGCUUAAAAACAUAAGCACUUAUUAUAAAAAAUGCUUAUAAAAAAAAUCUAUUUUACCUUUUGUGAACGAUCUCACAUAUCUGUCUAUCUGUCUCUUUUCCUUCCUCCCCUUUCCCCUCUCGCCAUGUCAACUAGAAAAUUAACUUUCAUUUCCCAUCACAAUCUUGUAGGAUCAGAUCAGCAAACCAAAUCAAACACGGCCUCUCACCACUGAACUAUACUAAUUUAGUAGCUGGACUAAUAAUACCGCAACCGAUGGAAAAAUUGGUGGCACUUGUGCCGAAGAAAUGGCAGAUCAGAUUUGAUGGAUCAACCAAAAAUUUACAGGGGGCCUGCCCGGCACGGCCAUCGUUCAUCAGAUCAUCAUCAUGCAUAUCAAGAACCGGAGUCUUACAGGCGGCGCGCGGGGAGAAGUAGACCCAGCUCGUGGGCGCCACGUCGCCGCCGCCCCCGCCGAGCUGCGGCCGCUCCUUCUUGUGCGCGUUCUGGUGGCCGCCCAGCGCCUGCAAGUUGACGAACUCGCGGCAGCAGUACUGGCACUUGUAGUGACGGCGGAGGUUCUUCGGUUCCCAAAAACAUGAGCCCGAAGGCCAUGGCCCGACGGGGGCGGCGCGAUGGCGCGGAGGAGGUCGGGAGCGCGAGGAACAAGAUGAAUCUGAGUCUCAGCAAAAUAGAAACUAAGGGGUAAGUUGUGUAACCAGUGGUAAUAGUGGUUACAUACCACCAACUCCAGGAGGAGGUCUGAAAAGGGGUUUUUGAAGCACCACUUGAGAUACUCCAAAAAAUUAUGGAUAUGCCCCCUUGCUCCACGUUUUUCUUGAAGCCGGAGUUACUGGAGUUAGACGCGUUUGGCUGCGAAAUUUUUGGAGUUGGUGGAGUGGAGCAAUUUUUUCUAGAGUGGAGUGCUCCAAACAGACCCUUAGCGUUGUAAAGGUUCUGCUUGUUACGAUGACCAUCAGACGUAUGUGUUGCAGCGUUGGUCCCGAGUUUUAGGGCAGUGGUUGCUGCAGCCUGUUUUCAGUAUUGUGCUGUGCUGUAGAAACAUGCAUUUUUCGUAUGUACAUAUGAACAUUUGAGUUAUUCAAACUAUUUAUUUUGAAUCAAUGGUAAGAUGGAUCAUGGGUAGGUGAGAAGUACAUAGGUAGUUAGUGGAUUAAAUAGUUGGAUGGAGAGAAAUUAACGGUUGAGAUAAAGUCAGUUUGCAUGUACAUGUGGUUUUGCAUUUUUCAUGUGCUGUGAUGUGGCCGACCCGGUUGGAUGCAACGAGGUGAAAUGCAAUUGAAGUUUUCUUUAGAAGAAAUGGCCUAUUCACGAUUCAUGAAGAACGCUGUAGCAUUUUAAGAUUGGGAGGUCCUAUUCAAAUGUUCGAAGAAAGGUCCAGUGGGCGUCCGUUCGGCGCCCCGUCACGUCGCCGUGACAUCGUCGGCAUCGAAGCCGACGCGGCCGAAACCAACUCGCCACCUCGUUACCUUAACCAGCUACACACACACAGCCACAGGUACCGACCGCCACCGGCCCGAGAGCGACGCGAGCCCACGGGGCGGCGCUAGACUGCUGCUAGGAGGCUAGGAGCCGCUGCUGCAGCGUCGCAUCGCAUCGUGCUCGCCCACAAACAUGACCAAGAUUCAAGGUCGCCGCCCCCCGCACCCAGCAUAUCCAUGGCGUCGGUCGCGCGUCCGUCCGCCGACGAGGAAACUCCGUCGGGCCGCUCUCCCACGGGCCGUCGGCUCGUUAGCUUAGAAAAGCCCAACAUCCUUGCUGGCUUAAAGAAAGGCCCAGCUCUAGGUCGGAACAGCAGCCCAGCAAAGUCGAGCCCAACCCUUUGCUGGCUUGCUCUGUCUGUCUGAGACUGCUGAAUCUUUUUGGGACUGAAGACCAGUUUUGGACUUGAAUCCGAGAAAAGGACAUGUGGUGCGUCGCCGUACGACGAACACGCACGAUCCUGCUAUGGCAAUCUACAUCAGUUCAAACUGUUGAUUGCCUUUUCUCUCCAACAAGACAACAGCUGAAUGCUUUUGCUGUUUUGCACUUGAUUACGGUUAAGCGUUCUGCCCAUCUUUUUGACGUUGCAAGGCCUUUAUCAAGUCGUCUCCUUCCCUUUUCGCAAAUUAAGUGGCCUUUCUGGCAGACAGCACUACUGCAGCAAUGUGUUCCCAUGGGCCAUGGCAACUCACGCGAGCCAGUCAAACAAAGUACAGCCGAGGUAGCCUAUCACUCGUCAGCCCACUCUCCCAACCUCUCGCAGUUCGUUCAUUCGAGCAGCCAGGCGCUCAGUUUUCCAAGCAGGCUAGCCGAAGUCCGCGGCUUCAAUCAUGAUGAGCCAUCUCCUUGGCCCAUAGCAGACUUUGAUCAGCCCACUCGAUGAGAGUUCUGACUUCUGAGACUGCGGCUGGAGUGCUGGGUCACUAGCAGGAUCGCUAAAAACUGAAAAGGUGGGGCGCAAACGUCUGAACGAAACCAUAAAUGUGGACGUGGACUUCGGCCUCGCGCACUUUGUUGACCCAGCACUAGUCAAUCAGUUGUCACGCCUUCAAAGAUCUGAUCCGCUGCUGUUCCACGAAAUUGCCAGAGAUUCAGAGUGCAUGGUACCGAACGGUCGUGUCCCCCUGAGGUCUGAACUUUGCAUACGCGUUGACCUGAGCUGAGCAUUGCGGUAAGCAGAGACUGGGAAAUGCUCCCAGUGAAAACUUGGCCUCCCUCCUCCCGGUCCCAUGCACCGACGACUUCGCGCGUCCAGCUUUUGCCAUUUGAAACCAUACCUGAAUCCUAGAUUUUCUAUGUUCAAAAUAAAAGUGGACUUGCUUCUUCUGUCAGUUGAUUGUGCUAGCGGCCCUGAGGUAUCUGGUUUUCGUUUUGUCCAGGGGAAGGAAGAUAACAGAACGUCAGAACGCACGGCGAGCCCAUGCAUUCCAUCGAUCAUGGCAGCGCCCGAGCAGUUGGAGGGCCUGGCCGACGACGAAGCCUCCGAUGCGGAGGUUGUUUCUUCGAUCGACAGCAACGCGCGUACGCGUUCAGUUAUGUAGUUCUGUUGCUGCAACGGACCGGUGACGCGGGUGACAAUCUGGAAAGCGCCGGAGCGGUUGCAUGGUCGGCGAGUUGAGCUCACGCCUUACCAAACUGCUCUGCUCACGGCAAGCAUAACGCCUUUCACCUGGGGAUCAUGGAGGAAAAGAGGACCUUGAACGGUCUCUGGUUGCAGUGAAGAAGCUUACGUAGCUGCGUACAGUAUGGUACAACACAAAUGAUGCCUCAUCUCGUGGGAAACUGCAGCGAAGCAGCUGGUACCGGUAGCAGCAGCAAGCAUGCCUUCCCACUGCACGUUCCAUCAAGUGUCAAGGACGUCCAUCAGCUUGGAUCCCACUGGUACGAUGAAGUAUGAACUCAUGAUUCAUGAUUCAAGCAUGGGUUGCAUGCAAUCAGCAAGCGGACACUUUCCGGCGGCCUUUUGUUAACUCGGUCCCCGCCUCCCCGUCGACGUUUACUUUGACAUGGCUGCCUCUGCGGCGCACUGCUGCACUGGCAUAGGCGCAUAGCUGCACCUGUACAACAUGAUCGUCGUGCGGGCGCCGUGCGUGGCAUGCGGUCCAUGGCGACCCUGACCACAGACCGUCUGGCCAUGGCCAUGGCUGUCGAACUAGCAAGCGUGAGGAAUGUAUGGUGCUCGGGAGUCGGGAGUUACUCGCUCCGUUUCGUAAAGAAUAUUCAUUUAGUUUUGUUCUAAGUCAAAUCAUAUUAUGUUUGAUCAAAUUUAUAUAAAAAUAUAUCAGUGCUUUUGAUGUCUAGCAAGUUUCAUUAAAUUUGUUAUGAAAUAUAUUUUUAUAUCAUACCUGUUUGGUGUUUAUCGUAAACUUAAUCAAACUUAAAACAGUUUGACUUAGAACAAAUCUAAAUGGACAUUCUUUACCGGACGGAGGGGUAGGUAGCACCUUGGCGCGCGCUGCUACGUCUCUAACCCAUUUCGUGUUUCGUCACCUUGCACACGUCAUCAGGAGUGGCAUGCACUUUCGUUCGAGUUUUGAUGCCGCCUCUAGAUCCAUCAGUCACGCCCACGCAGCCACAGGCAGCUUGUUAAUUCAACCUACUACUUAUACAUUAUCCAAUUAGUAUCAGCCCGGCGGCGAUGCAUGGUAAUGGUGCGCGCCGCGGCCAGCGAGUGAUCGCCGUCGGCGCGCCCACAUGUCGCGCGCGCACAUCCAGACAUCCUCACGGGCUCACGGCCGCGCACCGCGGGGGGACGGGGGGGCCCGCGCCGUGGCCGGGCGCUGUCCGGGGACGGCGACGCGGCGGAGCUCUGGUCUGCCACUUCUGCCCGCGGGGCCGGCGUCGCUGUCGGCCCGAUCGCCACCGCCGCCGUCCUCCUCACGCGCGUCCACGUCGGAACGUACAACACGUAAGGCCCCGCCCUGCUCGCUUCCCCGGCCGCUAGGGCAGAGCAUAGAUUCGCAUUCGCCGUCGGAUGUGCAUGCGUGCGUGGUUAAUUAAUGUCUCUGCUAUCGCCCCCCUGAUUUUCCCCGUCCCUUUCCCCCCCUCGAUAUCUGCCGAUCGAACAGUUGGGGCCGCGAAGAGAGCAGCUGCGCAGGUGCUGUGGUGGCCCGGUUGCCUUCCGCCGCCGCCCGUCCGCGCGCCCCAUACCGCCCGAUACCGGGUCAGUUCCUGUCGACCGUCACGCACGUACGUGACGGCCCGACGGGCCCCCACCUUAACUGCGCUACGCGACGGUUGACGCUACCCGCCUACCCGGGCGCCCACCACCACAGGUCCGGGGGCUAGUCUCGCGUCGCGUCCUCACCCACCUGCCGGCUGCCGCCAUCUCGCAGCCCGUUACCUGAAACGGCGGCCGGUGAGGCGGCGCUGCGCCCGCCUUUGCCGUUUCAGGUUUCAUCUCUUGCUAUGCCCGCCAGCCAGCGUCGCUCUGGCUUCAGGUUCAGGGUCAAACCAGCACGCCCUCAUGCUACGUUACCUUCGUGCGUAGAGUUUUGCAGAACUGUCGGUUGUUCGAGCACUGAUCGCAACGAAAUGCCAGCCCAGACUCGCAACAACACAUCGGGGAACGAGGAAACGCCCCGCGGCAACACAUUGAAGAAUGAGGUCUCUGGUGUAAAAACCAAGCCCAUGAAUCAUGCCAUCGGCUCCGAGUCCAUAUCACGUGAAAAGAUCCCGACAGUGCACACGCCGCCAGCCGCGAAACUGAAUCCAACCACAGAGCCAGCCAGCUCCGCGCUACGGGACGCCGCCCACCUUUCCACUUGUAAUAAAGCUGGCCUCCUUUUUUUUGAGCUCCCCAGGGCGGAAUGCGUUAUCCGAACCGGGCGUACGGCCACCAAACAGUUGGCAAAGCGGUCACGAUCGCCCACCAGGUCCGGCCGGUCCCAGGCGCGCGCGCGCGCUGCUAGCACCUACUCGCAGCUAGCGUCCAGCCAGAAAACGAGCCCGGCCACGGCGCUCGGUCCGAUCCGCGCCACACACGACGCCGCCGAGCCGAUCGGGCGCGGACGGGGACAGGCGGACCGGACGGGGCCCGACCGGCAGCCAACGGGCAUCGGGUGGGCGCCGGGCGGACACGCGCCGGGCGCUGCCGCGGCAGCGAACCAGGAGGCGAAAACGCGAGAUCGGCGAGCCCCCCAGGGCAUGCGAAAACGCAUCGGAUUCGGCCCCUAGCUUCCCGCGGCAGGCAGCCGCCACUUGCCCCGGGCGCCGCACAUGUCCUUUCGCCCAGUGGCACGUACGAACUAGAACUAGCGUCGCGGGACGCUGCUGGAUCGGAGUAGUGGCGGCGCUAGAGAGGAGGGAGAGGCAGCGCCGCAGCGGAUAGGGAUGUCGCCCAAAUUAUUGCCUCGUGGCAAUCCCGGUCUGUUUCGAGUUUCGGCCGGUAGCUAGCGUCGAGGAUGCCUCCAUCCAUCUUCAAAGCCGUCAGCCGUCACCCUGUGCGGCUGUAUCCGUGUGUCAUGUGACUGAGCUUACAUUUCUUCUCCAUCUUCUUCUUACUAUGAAGACGCGCAGCUUUCCCACAUGUUCCGGAAGAAGAAGAAGAAGAUCCAUCGAUUUAGAGGGGUUCAGGUCUGAGAAGACCUCGUUUGGUAUGCUGUUCAGAGGGAUGAGGAGAAACGGGGCAGUAGCCGGUAGCCGGUCAAGGGGGUCAAGCAUCGUUAGCAUUCAGCAAGUAUAUAGUGUGGGCAGUGAUUUCUUGGUCGGUCUGCAAGCACGUCCCGCAUUCUGUUGAGUUAGCUAAGAAGGAAAAGUCAGUCCUCUAAUCUGGCUGGUCCAACUCAACAGAGACAAAUCGAGUCAAACAAGUUCCUUCUUUGACAGAAGAAAACAAAUGAAACGCCUGUCAGAGAUUGUCCUACUACGCAGCUCCUUGUCUGACCAUGCUUGCACCGGGACAAACUCGAUCACAAAACAAAUAUACAGGGGUAACAGGGCUAAUCGCUGUCAGAGGAUCUAUACAGGUAAUAACAACUUGGAUGCUUCAACAGCUUGGCAAGCAAAAAAACAAUCCUAAACCUGUUACCCUGAUAAGGUUAACAAUCAGAGAGUUGCUUUGCGCCUGCGCCUCAUGGAGCCAAUAUAGCCAAUCCGGGACACGGUCCAUGCAUAUGCGUUGCCCGACACGGAAGAAAUCCACUACCGUGGCAUUGACAACGUACGUCACAGUAAAAGUAAAGCCGACCGUUGCAGGUGCCGUAACGACACGCUAAUCCCCGGGGCCGAGAGCUUUCGCGAUCACUACGCGCUGCGCAGCAAGCGGCUAGCGAGCUUUACGCCGAAGGACGCCGGAGAGAGCAAGAACGUGAAGCGAGGAAAGCGAGCCAGAUGACCACGAGAGAGGCGGCGAUGGUUUAGCAAUUAGCCCACUGGUGGCGCCACUAGGCCAAGAUUUAAGCGGCACGUAAUGCGCAGUUAAUCCCGCGCGCCAAUCAUAUGCUCCACCUCCGCCACUCCCGCCCGCACCGGGGGCGUCCACCAAUUAAUUACCGCACCCAUCAUCGCCGGCCGGCGGCAAAUCCAGCAACGGCUAACGAUCAUCUCACGGAUCAGGCCGCCCGGCCGCAUGCCCUUUUGCUUUCCUCGCUUGCUCGUCAUAGGCUUCUCAUGCGCCCUUUUGGUUUUGCUUUUGCUUUGCUUUGCUUUGAUCGACCUGCCCUGCCCCACACGUGAUUCAGGAGAGCCAUCGAGCGAUUAAAAGAGGGCCCGGCACGGGGCACUGGGGCUGCGCAUAUGCGUGAGGGGGUGGGUUACCAUUUGAACCGCCGGGAGACCUGAACGGCCGGCUCGUAUGGAUGGGAGAUUAGAAGGCAGGGGCCAGUGUCGCAGGAGUAGCCUUUCCUUUUCUCGCCUGCGUGGGGCUGCCUAUAUAUAUACGGUGCUACAUGCGUAGGAUCGGAGUAUGCAGUAUCCCUCGCUCAAUCCCGGCUGCCGAUGAGCUCGAGAGGGUAGUGCAACUAGCUAGCUAGAGCUCUAGUGGCUUCAUCAUACGGCUGGAGUAGAAGACGCGAUCGGUCGUCGGUGCCAUGACCAUGACCAUGACCAUGAGAGACGAGGAGGAGGAGGAGGAGCAAGGGGUGGUGAUCCGGAGCUACAACCCCAAGACGGACCAAGCCGGCACGGAGGCCGUCGACAGGGAGUGCGAGGUCGGCCCGGCCGGCGGGAUGUCCCUGCACGCCGACCUCCUCGGCGACCCCGUCGCGCGCAUCCGCCACUCGCCGCACCACCUCAUGCUGGUACGUGGUGUACCGUACGUGUGUGUGUGUACGUAUAGGUAUACGCGGCAGGUAAUGCGCGGCCGGAUACUAUGAUUGCGCUGCACACAGUUGCACGUAGCUAUUUGUGGGGCGAUAGCCGCUGAUUGUUCGGGCCUUCAACUCUCGCUGCUGGUAGUGGGUUGCUUUUUUCCAGCGCGUUAGUUUCAUCGAUCUCGACAUGGCAGGUAGCUGAGACGUCCGGGCCGGGCAGCCGGAUCGUCGGCCUCAUCCGCGGCACCGUCAAGUCCGUCGCCACCGGCAAGGCCUGCCCUCAGGGCGAACCCGCCUUCGCCAACGUCGGGUACAUUCUCGGCCUCCGCGUCGCGCCCUCCCACAGGUAAUCCUAGUUGUUUCAGUGUCAUCAUUCAUCAAGCUCUGUCCUCUCUGCUCUAUGUUCGCGACACUUGUCGACAUUGUAGCAUCCAUCGUUCGAUCACUCAUCAUUGCUGUUGCGUUGUCAAGAGAGCAAGCUAAUUGGUUUGGCGUUUGUUCACGUACGUGCAGGCGGAUGGGCAUCGCGCGGCUGUUGGUGCGGCAGCUGGAGCGGUGGUUCGAGGUCAUGGGCGCCGAGUACGCGUACAUGGCCACCGACAAGUCCAACGAGGCGUCGCUGCGCCUCUUCACCGGCCGCUGCGGCUACUCCAAGUUCCGGACGCCGUCGCUCCUUGUGCACCCCGUGCACUCGCACCGCCUCAGGGCGCCGCGCCGCGCCACGGUCGUGCGUCUGGGCGCCUGCGACGCCGAGCGGCUCUACCGCAGCCGGUUCGCGAACGUGGAGUUCUUCCCCGCGGACAUCGGCGCCGUCCUCGACAACCAGCUCUCCCGGGGCACGUUCCUGGCGAUCGUCGACGGGGGCGGCUACGAGUGGCGCGGGGUGGAGGACUUCCUGUCCUCGCCGCCGGCGUCGUGGGCGGUGGCGAGCGCGUGGGACUGCGGCGGCGUGUUCCGCCUCGAGGUCCGCGGCGCGUCCCGUCUCCGCCGCGGCGCCGCGGCCGCCACCCGCGCGCUGGACCGCGUGGCCAAGUGGCUCCGCGUCCCGUCCGUGCCGGACUUCUUCCGCCCGUUCGCCGGGUGGUUCGUGUACGGCCUCGGCGGCGACGGCGGCGACGCCGCGGUGGCCGCGGAGGCGCUGUUCGCGUCGAUCGUCAACAUGGCGCGCGGCGCCGCGGCCGCCGUGGCCUUGGAGGUGGCGGCCAUGGACCCGCUCCGCUCCCGCAUCCCGCACUGGCGCCGCCUGUCCUGCGCCGAGGACCUGUGGUGCAUGAAGCGCCUCGGCGGCGGCGGCGGCCACGCGGAUGGAUGGGAUUGGUCCAGGUCGGUCCCUGGUAGCUCCAUCUUCGUGGACCCCAGGGAGGUUUGAGUGUGACUCAGCCGGCGUCCGCUUGCAAGCAGAGCUUUUGUGCUCUGUUUUUUUGCCACUGGAUUUCAGUUUUGAUCUUUUUUCUUUUCCGCCUUCAAAUUUUGCCACCUCGUGUCUAUAGUUGUAGUUUUGGAAGGCGGAGAUUUCGUCGGAUGACUAUCUUUUUGUAGGAUCAGCAAUCGAUCGUGUAGAUACAUUCUCGUCCUUUUCCGGCCUGUCUUCUCUGCAUUUUUUUUUGCACCGUGACAAGUGUGCGGUCGCGAGGGAUCGUUUCAAUCCAGCCACGAGUAUCAUUGAGGGCAUCAACCGAUGAAUGCCUCUGCAACCACCGAUGAGUAUAUGUUCCUGACUCACGUCCGCGUCCGUGUCGCCCCCAUGCCUUUCGAGCCGUCGCUGCUGCGAUCCACCGGUGAUGGUGCUGCACUCCUGCUGUGAUGAUGACGAUCAUGAGCGAAUCGAUGCGUGAUAUAAUGGCUGAUGGCGCUCGAGCUGACACCUAGCGUCCGUCGUCGUCCUCCGCCCUUUUGCUGGCCAUCGCCAUGGCUGCCCUACGUUUUGUGUUGUGCACUGUGCAGCGCAGCAGCGGUGUGGGAGAGUAGGCGCAUGUGCUGCGUAGCCUCGUUGGCGUGGAUGUUGUUCAGAAAAAGCGAGGGGUUGUCGCGGCGUCGCGUAACGGCGAACGCCAGUGGGCAUACCGAUCGGCGCCGGCGGCGCUGCGCUCGACGCCUCGGCUGCAGUGCACUGUCCUGGUUGUUUUGUAGCGCGUGCAGAACAAAUGAUUGGACCUGUCGCCGGUGGAGCAUCGAUUCCAAUUGGCCAAUUGGGCAAUUUGGCCAUCGGCGGCGUGGUUGCAGACUUGCAGUUCCGGCCACUCUACUAUCUGGCACUUCGUUUUCCAUCUAUCAUUCUAUCCCUGCGCAGUAGGCCUGGUAGUGGGGCGGGUUGAAAUGAGUUUUAUUGGGCGGGUUGUGACGUGGGGUGUGUUUGAAUGGGUUAAAAUGGGUUUUAGUAUCUAAUGGGUUGGGACGGGUUGGGUAUAUCAGAAAUGCGGGUUGGGGCGGGUUGAAAGUGAUUUUUUGUUUGAAUUUGUAUGGAUUUAAUUCAUAGGUUUAACUUUCACGUUUCGGCUCUUGACGUGGGGCCAUGGUUUAAGUCCAGCCGCACUACUUUGCACAUAAUAGCGGACUGCCAAACUAAUUCAUUUGCAACAAAUUUCGGUCAAUUUUUCCAAAAUUUUAAGGUGUGAACGCGAGAUUUUAAUUUUAGGGUCCGACUCUUGACGCGGGGCCCACGUAUAAGUCCAGCCGCACUACUUUGCACAGAGUAGCGGACUGUCAAACUAAUUCAUUUGCAACAAAUUUCGGUCAAUUUCUCCAAAAUUUUAAGGUGUGAACGCGAGGUUUUAAUUUUAGGGUCCGACUCUUGACGCGGGGCCCACAUAUAAGUCCAGCCGCACUACUUUGCACAAAGUAGCGGACUGUCAAACUAAUUCAUCUGCAACAAAUUUUGGUCCAAAAUUUUAAGGUGUGAACGUGAGAUUUUAAUUUUAGGGUCCAACUCUUGACGCGGGCCCCACAUAUAAGUCCAGCCACACUACUUUGCACAGAGUAGCGGACUGUCAAACUAAUUCAUCUGCAACAAAUUUCGAUCAAUUUCUCCAAAAUUUUAAGGUAUGAACGUGAGGUUUUAAUUUUAAGGUCCGACUCUGGACGCGGGCCCCACACAUAAGUCCAGCCGCACUGCUUUGCACAGAGUAGCGGACUGUCAAACUAAUUCAUCUGCAACAAAUUUCGGUCAAUUUUUCCAAAAUUUUAAAGUGUGAACAUGAGGUUUGUAUAAAUUUAUAGGUUCAUGUACAAAACCCACGGGUUAUAUCAAUUUGUGAGGCGGGUUGGGUUGGAUUUACACAAUAGAAUUAUGGAGCGGGGUGGGGUAGGUGAAUGAGUUAAUUUAUUGCGGGUUGGGGUGGGUUUGGGACGGGUUUCAACCCAUUAGCAGGCCUACUGCGCAGACACUGGCGACGGCGAUGCAACAAAACUGGCGGUAAUUGGGGCCAUGUAUGCAAUGCACGAAUGUAUCUAUCCAGUUCCUGUCACAAGGAUCCGUCGAUCGUGUAAUGCCGUACGCUGCAGGUAACGGGAGUCAAUUUGAGCAUAACGAUCUGUCACCACCCAAUAGUGCUGUCGGCUGGGCUCAAUGAUAUUAUCGACGGCGGGAUAGCACAGAGUCACACAGAUGCAGUCGCGGAAGCUCGGUGAGAACUGGAAAAGCUCGCCCAUGAUCUUCACGGGCUCACGGCCAAUCCUACCGGACCGAGCCGUUUCGUCUCUGAACUCUGCAGGAGCAGGACACGGACGGCAGGAGACGGUCAGACAGUGAGACAAAGCAGCGAUCCAAAAUGCACCAGUGCUCGCGCCAAAUUGCUGGCGGCUACGCGCGACACAUGUGCAUGUGAGUAUGUGACCGAUCCAUCGAUCAGCCGCUCGCACGCACGAGCUACUCGCCCUACUCCUUUUGUAUAAGUGCUCCGAGCUGGUGAUCCAUUGUACAGUAGGAAAUGGCACAUGCAUACGCGAUUAGGAAAGGCAUGUGCCUCUGAGACUUGCACACUUUCCUCUGAGACCAUGCCUUUCCUGACGCUCUAGCUAGCCAGCUAGGUUCGCCGAGCUAUCCGCCGGCCGACAAGCCGGCCUCGUGGUUGAUCUCUCUCUAUCUAUCCUGUUCUUUCUCGGGGUCCGUCUCUCUCCGAAACGUAGACCGCAUUAAUCCGAGACACAUCAGUGGAUAAGGAUUUCCGAGUAUGCACGCACACAUAUGAUUUAUGCAACGGGCAGAGCAUCUCUCUGAUUUGGAGAAGUGGAUAGAUGUGCCCAUAUAUAGAAGUGCUCUGAACAAGACCAGAAUUGGUCAUGGCCUUGCGAGACACUGAUUUCCUUGGUGAUCCCUGUAGUGAAUUAGUGAUCUUGCAAUGGGGCCCAAGGGGUGUGGUGUCCAAAUGUGAUGAGUCGAUGAGAGCACGGCCGGCAUCGGCCUUCCUUUUUGCCCCGGCCGGCCUUGUUGUCAGAGCGGUCGGUGAACAUUGUUUACGCCGCCGCCGGCGGUUGUUCAUCACGUCACCGUUGGUAGCGCACGCUCGAUCGUCUAUGGAGGAUGAGGAUGAGGAUGACGAUUGGAUCGUGAUUUGAUUUUGGUGGGUUUCUACUAAUCUAGUGAGAUGAACAUUUCGUGCUAAGCUUUUUCUGAAAAGCCAGUGCAGCUUAGAGGUGUUUGGUUAUAGAGACAAAUUUAAUUCCUGUCACAUCAAAUAUGUAGAUAGGACUCAGCCGUAUUGAGCCUCCGUAUCAAAGAGGGACAUACGUACCUGCCAAGACCCUGUAUCUGGCCGGUCGCACUGACUGGUCUACCGCAACCGCCUCAUCAAACUGUUAUUUUGAGCAAUCCUCAUCAAACUGUUUUCCGUGACGCAUCCGGCCAAACCGAGCAGCCACAUGCCACCACCACUUCCCGGCUGUGGAUCCGGCCGCACUAUCGGCCGGCAAUCCCAGGCACUUCCGUUCGUGGCGAUCGCGGGAGAGCAGAGCUGCCGAGUACCCGUCGGGAUUGAGCCGCGCAGCCGACGUGUCGGCGAGGAAUGCAUGGCCCGCGCGCGAGACGGCGUGGUGGAGUCCAAGCGUGCGCGGAAGACGGCGACGUUUUGGCCUCGCUUUGGAGCGCCGUGGUGGUGAUCGCCGGCAGGUACGAUUGCUUUCCGAUAUUGGGGGUCGAUCAGGAAGAAAACUAUCCAUCGUGCAGUGGCGCGGGUCGGCGGGUGCACGGCCACGUAACGGCGCCGGUUUUUAUCGGGGCUUGACCUGACCACUCCGUGUCCAUCCGGAUUCGUUGACGAGGCCACGAAGGGGCCGGGGCGGACGCGCUGACUGGUACGUCGAACUCCUUUUUGCCAGACAACCUGACCGGACGCGGAUGAACAUGGUCGUGCGAGCCUGACAAGGCGUCCUCGACCGGUCGCCACUUUCUCAUAGGCACCUGAUGAAUAGAAGGAGAGAUUUGCUUUCUUUCGUUGACAGGCUUGGGAUUUUUACGUACGGAGUACGGUGACUGGCUGACUUUCUUAUCUCUGCAUGACAUAUGCAUAACCAUCUCUUAUACAUAAACUGAAAUGCUUAAACGAGUAUUGAUCCACCAAUAUUUUUGUUGACUAACUUUUUUUUUUGCGAAUAUUUUUGUUGACUAACCUGAAGACUUGCUGUAAUGAUCUACAAGUAAUGUCCAAAAUUUUGGUUGAGGGAUAGUAGUGUCCGCCGUAGGUAAGGGCUCUUUUUGCAGGGUUUCAGCUUCUCUGACUUUUAGUUUAUUUGAAUAUACAAUUUUUGUAACUGUAAGAAAUAAUUCUUAAAAGUUCUCUAGAAGUCAGAGCCGUCUCGGAGGAAAUAGUGUUAAUAUGGUUAAAAUCUACAUGACCUCGAAUUUCGUUGCUCCUAAUAGUAAUAAAAUUCGGGAUCAGCUCUUUCUGGAAAAGAAUCAUUACGCGGCAGCAUGCCAACGUUUGAGUGGUUUCCACCCCGAUAAGAGGUUAAGUUGCCUUUCUAGUUUCGACGAACGCUGUCAUUGCUCGGCGUCUCCGCCACUUAUCGCUGCUCCUCGAGUCAACUGGUGGUCAUUCGACACGUUUGCUUGCCUGGACGUGGAUCCGCAGUUCAGCACGCGCCAAAGCAGGCCCUCGUCGUGGCACCUCAGCGUACGUACCUCACCCCCACCACGUGAUGCGAUGUGGUGCUAUACCGAUACACCAUCAUGGCGCCGUUUGAAAGUUGAAACGAGAUCGGAGAUCCCCUGCUCUGCUGGCCGCCCAGGCAAUUGGACGCGACGCGGAGACACGUCGUGUUGACUCGACAGGCCAGAAAGACCCCCAAGGUGCGGUGCCCUGCUGGUGGCCUGGUCGUCCCUUGCUGCCGCCUUGCCUCGACAGCGGUGAGACAAAGGGCACGACCUUUCCUCCACUCUGUCCCCGGAUGGCCGGAUCCACACCGUUCUCCGCCGAAGACAAAUCCGGUCUGCCUCGCCCACUUCGCGUGGCUAGUCAGGGUAACUGUAGCUGGCUAGGCUGUACGCCUGGUCGCCUGUCCCCAAGCUGGGCGAACCUUGGCGUGGCCCCGCCAGAGACCCGAGGCACCAUGAACUCCUUCCUGGUCUCCGUCUCCGUUCCUCUGACUGCCUGAGCUGAUCCCUUUUCCUUGUCUUUUGGACCGAGGACGCUGCCGAAACCGACGACGAGAACCGUGCAGGCAUCACUGCGUGUUUGACCCUGAACAGGUGAACCAUGCGAAUAUGCGAUGGUCCAGCUGCCCAGGCAUACCUGCCCCGCACGAUCGAAAGCCAAAAAGGCUUGGGAUUUUGUUCCGUGUAACUUCAUGCCCUUUUGCCUUGCCGCCACAUUGCACAACCGCAGUGCUGGUAGGCGGUACCUUAGGCUAGAUCUGUCCUCGGAGUGCCAAGAUCUUGCUGAACUGCUCUGUCUCAGCCUCUCAGGAGACGCCUGGCCAGUGAUCAUCAUUGUGCCUUGAUAAUUCAGGCUUCCCCGGACCCCGGUCCGGCCUCUAUCACCCGCGAUUGCCCUGGUGUUCGUGCUUACCUGUUGGAGACCAGACCAUGCAGGAUUAUUUGCCUUUAAGCUUUACUUAAGAGAGUUGAGACAUUGCAGAUGCGUAGAAAAGAUUUGCCUGUGCCGUUUUGAUCAUGGAUUCGACUGCUAGCGUUGCCAUGAUCCAGCACGGAUUCGUGGGCCGGGCCCCGGGCUGAUAUUUCAAGUUAGCAGAUGCCAAGCGCCAUUUUUUGUUACAGGAUUCCUGCACAAGUUUACCCUUUUGAUCUCAACUCGAUCAUAUGAUGACGAUUGAUGAUAAUCAUAGAGCGAUUCCACCUCAUCCCUUCAAAUCUGUUGAGCUACACUAAUACGCAGCCAUUAUUGUUGGCCUAGCUCAUGUGCUUCCUGUGAGACCUGGGUAUUCGGUGCCUGAAUCUGAAUAGGAUGCCAUUCUGUGUGAUCUGGAUAGUUCAGACGUCGAUCCGAUGACUUUACAAGUCGGCAAAGCCGCAAAGGUUUAGUCCAGCAAAAAGUUACUGUUUUCAAACUAUCGGGCAGAUAUAAGAAUGGAACGCAAGAACGCAGAGCUGCAGAACAGUUAUCCUUCAACUCUAACAAAGUAGGCUUCUUAUAACACUACUUCGAGUUCACAUAAGACCUCACAUAGAACCCCCAGAUUUCACAGGUUUCAUGGCAAGCCUACACUCUACCAACACAACCUAAGAACAGACCUGGCAUUAUAACAUCCCUAAAGACGUGUAAAAACAUCAGUCCUUGCUUCUAUGCAACAUUCAUAAGAAAGAACAGACGACUGCUAAAACCUAGUGCCUCCU
This 41754-nucleotide long non-coding RNA is filed under the name Setaria viridis. RNAcentral describes it as "long non-coding RNA (SVIR_LNC011396)". The record is from RNAcentral. Lineage: Eukaryota; Viridiplantae; Streptophyta; Magnoliopsida; Poales; Poaceae.